Non-coding RNA from Suncus etruscus (white-toothed pygmy shrew), 140 nucleotides. RefSeq annotates it as small Cajal body-specific RNA 21. Lineage: Eukaryota; Metazoa; Chordata; Mammalia; Eulipotyphla; Soricidae. The transcript has a single exon. The record is from RefSeq and is a predicted model, not a curated record.
UGGCUUGAUUUCCUGAAGAGUGGAUUAAGCUUGUUUCACUUUCUCUCAGAUGAGCCUACAGCAGAGAGGCUGGGCUUCUCCCCACAUUGGAGAGGUGGUCAAGAAAGGGAUUUCAUCAGAGAAGCCCUUGCCUUACAUUU